RNAcentral lists this long non-coding RNA (349 nucleotides) under Mus spicilegus (steppe mouse). RNAcentral describes it as "lncRNA (ENSMSIG00000020526.1)". The record is from RNAcentral. Lineage: Eukaryota; Metazoa; Chordata; Mammalia; Rodentia; Muridae.
AAACACGGAAUGUUGCAUGCGAAAGAAAUUUAUAAACAAAUACGCGUAACAUGAUUUACAAAAAGUCCCUGAAAAUGUGAAGCUGACUGGGAAACUCUCAAGCUGGACCAGGCUUGGAAGAUUUGGAAGAGCAACCAAAACACUAUGGUAAAUACUUUGAAGAGGUGUGGUAUAAAUCAAGUAGCCACAAAAAACACAACGUGAUCAAGUCAGAGGUGGCCAAGGUCAUUAUAAAUAUUUGGAAGAAAAGAAGUAUUUAAUCGCUCUGCCCUUUUGCUGUAUUACGGUGUCUCUGUUUAAAGAAGACAACUGUAAACAAUAGCCAAUGGUUUAUAAAUAUGAAGUGCGG